UAUUUAUUAGAUAUUAAGCCAAUAUUCAUUGUGUCUAUUGUGGUGAAUCAUAGUAACUGAUCGAAUCCCUUUUUGUGGAUAAAUCAUUCAAGUUUCUGCCCUAUCAGCUUUCGAUGGUAGUGUAUUGGACUACCAUGGCAGUCACGGGUAACGGAGAAUUAGGGUUCGGUUCCGGAGAGGGAGCCUGAGAAACGGCUACCACAUCUAAGGAAGGCAGCAGGCGCGUAAAUUACCCAAUCUUGACACAAGGAGGUAGUGACAAGAAAUAACUGUGUGUGGCUCUAUGCUGCACAUCCGGAAUGUGUGACAGGUUAAGCGUGUUGCGAGUAGCUAUUGGAGGGCAAGUCUGGUGCCAGCAGCCGCGGUAAUUCCAGCUCCAAGAGUGUAUAUUAAAGUUGUUGCGGUUGAAAAGCUCGUAGUUGGAUUUAUGCUAUGCUGGUACAGUCGACCCCCUGGGUAGGACUUGUAUUGUUGCAUUGCACACUGUAGAAUUUGUGUAUGUUUUUCAGUAAAUGUGCAGAAUACUACUUAGUUACUUUGAGGAAAGUGGAGUGUCACACGCAGGUUGCGCCGUGAACAUGCUAGCAUGGCAUGACGCUGUAUGACUACGAGUCUUUUUGAACGGUUUCGGGACACGUGGUAAUGAUUGAUAUGAGGUGUUGGGGAUACUCAUAUUUGACAGUUAGAGGUGAAAUUCUUGGAUUUGUCAAAGAUGAACAAAUGCAAUAGCAUUUAUCAUGGAUGUUUCAUUUGAUCAAGAACGAAAGUUAGGGGAUCGAAGACGAUCAGAUACCGUCCUAGUCUCAACCAUAAACGAUGCCGACCAGGGAUUGGCGGAUGUUACUUAUAGGACUCCGCCAGCACCUUAUGAGAAAUCAAAGUCUUUGG
RNAcentral lists this ribosomal RNA (888 nucleotides) under Mucochytrium quahogii. RNAcentral describes it as "labyrinthulid quahog parasite QPX partial Eukaryotic small subunit ribosomal RNA". It matches the Rfam family "Eukaryotic small subunit ribosomal RNA", at positions 203 to 1110 of the family's 1831-position model. The record is from RNAcentral. Lineage: Eukaryota; Bigyra; Thraustochytrida; Thraustochytriidae.